AUUGGACGCUGGCGGCAGGCCUAACACAUGCAAGUCGAGCGCGCGGCGGACGUGUGAGUAAUUUCUGGGGACUGCCCGAUAGAGGGGGAUAACUACUGGAAACGGUGGCUAAUACCGCAUACUAUCGGAUAACCCAUAUGGGAUUAGCUAGUGGGGGGGGUAAAGGCUCACCUAGGCGACGAUCUCUAGCUGGUCUGAGAGGAUGAUCAGCCACAAGGGGACUGAACCACUGACCAGACUCCUUGGGAGGCAGCAGUGGGGAAUAUUGCACAAUGGGCGCAAGCCUGAUGCAGCCAUGCCGCGUGUAUGAAGAAGGCCUUAGGGUUGUAAAGUACUUUCAGCGGGGAGGCGUUACCCGCAGAAGAAGCACAGGCUAACUCCGUGCCAGCAGCCGCGGUAAUAC
RNAcentral lists this ribosomal RNA (403 nucleotides) under uncultured bacterium. Its description in RNAcentral is "partial 16S ribosomal RNA". It matches the Rfam family "Bacterial small subunit ribosomal RNA", at positions 30 to 526 of the family's 1533-position model. The record is from RNAcentral.